AAAAGCGUAAACGGUAUACGAUGGACCCGCGUCUGAUUAACUAGUUGGCGGGGUAGAGGCCCACCAAGGCGACGAUCAGUAGCCGGCCUGAGAGGGUGACCGGCCACAUUGGGACUGAGACACGGCCCAAACUCCUACGGGAGGCAGCAGUGGGGAAUAUUGCACAAUGGGGGGAACCCUGAUGCAGCGACGCCGCGUGAGUGAAGAAGUAUUUCGGUAUGUAAAGCUCUAUCAGCAGGGAAGAAAAUGACGGUACCUGACUAAGAAGCCCCGGCUAACUACGUGCCAGCAGCCGCGGUAAUACGUAGGGGGCAAGCGUUAUCCGGAUUUACUGGGUGUAAAGGGAGCGUAGACGGUUAUGCAAGUCUGAAGUGAAAGCCCAAGGCUCAACCAUGGGACUGCUUUGGAAACUGUAAAACUGGAGUGCAGGAGAGGUAAGCGGAAUCCCUAGUGUAGCGGUGAAAUGCGUAGAUAUUAGGAGGAACACCAGUGGCGAAGGCGGCUUACUGGACUGUAACUGACGUUGAGGCUCGAAGGCGUGGGGAGCAAACAGGAUUAGAUACCCUGGUAGUCCACGCGGUAAACGAUGAUCGCUAGGUGUCGGUGGGUAGAGACCCAUCG
RNAcentral lists this ribosomal RNA (621 nucleotides) under uncultured bacterium. RNAcentral's name for it is "bacterial SSU rRNA". It matches the Rfam family "Bacterial small subunit ribosomal RNA", at positions 202 to 842 of the family's 1533-position model. The record is from RNAcentral.